This 439-nucleotide long non-coding RNA is filed under the name Hordeum vulgare. Its description in RNAcentral is "long non-coding RNA (HVUL_LNC002676)". The record is from RNAcentral. Lineage: Eukaryota; Viridiplantae; Streptophyta; Magnoliopsida; Poales; Poaceae.
AAAUCAUUUUGAUAAGUGUUGUGAAUAAGCAAAACACAUUUUGUAAGAAAUGCAGUGAUGUUUCAAAAACAUGAUGCAUAUUGGUUUUAGUGCUGAGAGCCAUUACUUUCUUUCUAGACGAGCCAAUACCUUUGAUUUACCGACGAAUGACCAACCUAAAAAAAAUCUAACAUCAAAUCUUACAAUGUGUAGGUUGGGGUAGCAAAAUACACGUGUACAUACUCGAGAUGUUUAUUCGGUGAAGGGAUCAUCCCUACUUCUACUAGCGUGCCAGAAGUCCCUUGUUCUUUUUGAGGCCGAGUCUAUGUUAUCUUUGUUUCUUUUCUCCUCUUUGGCUCUCUCCUACCUCUGUUACUGCUUCCCCUGCCUCCUCCGACCGCGUGGGAGAGGAGCUCCUCUGCCCUGAGCCAUCUGAAAAGCAGACCAGCUACGUCACUCN